This 2057-nucleotide long non-coding RNA is filed under the name Sus scrofa (pig). Its description in RNAcentral is "lncRNA (ENSSSCG00060065999.1, ENSSSCG00165001532.1)". The record is from RNAcentral. Lineage: Eukaryota; Metazoa; Chordata; Mammalia; Artiodactyla; Suidae.
GCAGAGAGCAUUUCCUGUGCCAGCGCAGCUGUAGCAGCUGCACCUCCUGCGUGGGCUGUGAGCCUGGGGCCCGCCGAGGUGGGGAUGCUGACAUUUUGCUCAGGCAAAAGACUUUUCCUGGCUGCCAGACUCACCACCUCCUCAUUGCAAAUCUGUCGUGAGUACGUCCCAGAGGUGAAGACGGUGGCUCUUACCAGCACAGGAGAUCAAGAAGCGAAACCACACGUCUGUAAACUCUCCCUUCCCGACUGAGACCUCUUCCGAUGCAGCAGACAUGGCUGGAGGAAAAAAACCAAACCUGAGUCCUUGAAAACUCACAGUCCUGGCAAAUGAGUUGAAAGAAUGCAGAAUCUACCAAAAAGAGCUUCAGUAUCUGAAGGAGUCCUUGGGGGGGGGGGGGGGUCUCCAUUCAGGAGCUCUGGGAACUGAGUCUGUGACACUGGAUUGAAGACACCAGUUGGAGUUUGAGACAAAAAAAGCAAAUUCAGACACUGUGACUUCAGGAGAAGGUUGGCUGAGAAUGAGAUACUCCAGCUUUUGGACAUGCUGGGCUACAAGCAUCAUUACAACAUCUCACUGGGCUGCCUUCUGCAAUGCCACCAAACAGUGGUUCCAAGAGAAGCCCAAUGGCCUCCUGUACUUUCUUUCGGCACCAGUCACUGCAAAGUGUUGUGGAGCACAGGUUUCUUGGUAAGACAGAUCUGUGCAGACACCUGCUGAGUAAGGGGAGGUGAGACUCAUAUCCAAGGGAAAGCUUGUAGCUGGGAUUUCUCGAGUAGAAAAGAGUCUAUAAACAUGGAUAAAAAUGGUUAUAUAAACGAAGACUUGUAUUUGGCUGGAACAGAGAUCUGACUUCAGUAGCUUAACAUCCCAGGGUUUAUUUUCUCAGGCAAAAGACUUCUGGAGUUUAGCAGUCCUGGGCUGCUCUGCUGGCUCCACAAAGUCAUCUGAGGCCCAGCUCCUUCUGUGUCCUUGAUCUGCUACAGUGGUUUUCAUUCUUAAGGUUAGCUCAUGUUUGUGACUCCUGGACACAGCAUGGCUGCUGGAGCUCCAGCCAUCACAUUUCAGGCAGAAGGGAAGAAGAAGGGCUUAUAUUUCCUUUUAAAGAGUUUUUCCAGAAGUUUUCCACCAACAUUUCCGCUAUGUCCCUUUGACCUAGAACUUUGUCAUUGGGCCACAGCUGGUUCUAAGGGAAUUUGGGGAAUAGAGGUUUCAGCUGGGUGUGUUGCUAGCUUACACUGAGACAGGGAUCCCCUGCAAACAAAAAUGAGGGAAAUGGAUUUGGGGUAGGAAUUAGCAGUCUCUGCCCUAGUUCUGAAAUCAAGUUCUUAUCCCCUCCUGAAAAGGACCUCAGGUCUUAAUUGGAGAAACUAUGGCAAUCACAGACACCUGGAAGCAGAGACUUCUUUCAAAAUUACACAGAGGCCUUCAGAUCUAAGGACUCUAGAAACCUUUAAAUCACAGCCUCUGGGAAGAUUCUAAGCUCUGUGCAAAUUUAAAUUUAUUGCAUUUUUUUCUACUUUUUUUUUUUUUUUUAAAGAAAUGAAUUCUUUUUACGUUUUCCCUCCCACAUUGUAUCAUUCCCACUGGGUCUUAAGUUACAUAAUGCAGAGAAGAGCAGCGUGAGGAGUGAGGAUGUUUUUGACUGUACCGACAGCUCUUCUGUUCACUUGGUCUGUGAUGGUUUGUAAUGCAAUUCCUCCAUUUUUCUAAGAUUAUUUCUAACAAUAAUACUCUCGGAGGUGCAGGGACUGAUGGGUCCUGGUGCGGCCAUUAAAAUUCUGGGUUCAUACAGCACCCCUUCUCUGUAACAUGAGCCCCCAAAUAAAGCACUGCUGGCAAUAUUCACCAUUGUCAGAAAACCCAUUUUCCUGCUGCAGAAUCAGGCUGUGAAUAACCACUCCUUGCUAGCGGCACGAGGAAUUGUAGUUGCAGUAAUUCACUUCCAUGUGGCCUGGGCAUGAGAAGCAAGCCUGUCCCACAAGGAUAAAACAUAUACCAAGCUAGGGCCGUAGGACUUGUUUACUGGGAUAUUUUUCAGUAAAGGGCUCUCUUUG